Molecule: ribosomal RNA, 637 nt
Filed under: uncultured Tolypothrix sp.
Lineage: Bacteria; Bacillati; Cyanobacteriota; Cyanophyceae; Nostocales; Tolypothrichaceae
Description: bacterial SSU rRNA
Rfam family: Bacterial small subunit ribosomal RNA
Source: RNAcentral
AUGGUGGUACUAUCAGGCCCGGGGACAACAACUGGAAACGGUGGCUAAUACCGGAUGUGCCGAAAGGUGAAAGGCUUGCUGCCAGAAGAUGAGCUCGCGUCUGAUUAGCUAGUAGGUGUGGUAAGAGCGCACCUAGGCGACGAUCAGUAGCUGGUCUGAGAGGAUGAUCAGCCACACUGGGACUGAGACACGGCCCAGACUCCUACGGGAGGCAGCAGUGGGGAAUUUUCCGCAAUGGGCGAAAGCCUGACGGAGCAAUACCGCGUGAGGGAGGAAGGCUCUUGGGUUGUAAACCUCUUUUCUCAAGGAAGAAAAAAAUGACGGUACUUGAGGAAUAAGCAUCGGCUAACUCCGUGCCAGCAGCCGCGGUAAUACGGAGGAUGCAAGCGUUAUCCGGAAUGAUUGGGCGUAAAGCGUCCGCAGGUGGCUAUGUAAGUCUGCUGUUAAAGAGUGAGGCUCAACCUCAUAAAAGCGGUGGAAACUACAUGGCUAGAGUGCGUUCGGGGCAGAGGGAAUUCCUGGUGUAGCGGUGAAAUGCGUAGAGAUCAGGAAGAACACCGGUGGCGAAAGCGCUCUGCUAGGCCGCAACUGACACUGAGGGACGAAAGCUAGGGGAGCGAAUGGGAUUAGAUACCCC